Molecule: long non-coding RNA, 353 nt
Organism: Contarinia nasturtii (swede midge)
Lineage: Eukaryota; Metazoa; Arthropoda; Insecta; Diptera; Cecidomyiidae
Exons: 2
Source: RefSeq, a predicted model, not a curated record
AUUCAUCAAUCGAAUCGGAACAUAUACUUACUAGCAUUUUUUAAGUUUCAGCGAUAUAACCAUACAUAAUUUUACAGCGAUGGAACGACGUGAGGUCAAAAUUCCAGAGGAAAAGAUACGGCUGCUUUGCGAAUUGCACGGCGAAUAUGAAAGACAUCAUGAACGCAUUGUGAAAAGUAUUCAAGAAGAUUUGCGGCAACAAGAGCAUGAGAUAAAACGACAAUUGGUUGCAGAAAAACGGAAAAAACGCAAAAAUAAAAGCUGAUUCUCACCACAAAUUCAUGUGAAAAUAUCGAAAAAUGUAGUGAAAUAAAGUUUAUACAUAUAUUUUGUGUAAAUCAUAAAUAAAUUUA